RNAcentral lists this ribosomal RNA (492 nucleotides) under uncultured bacterium. RNAcentral describes it as "partial 16S ribosomal RNA". It matches the Rfam family "Bacterial small subunit ribosomal RNA", at positions 29 to 507 of the family's 1533-position model. The record is from RNAcentral.
AGUGAACGCUGGCGGUAGGCCUAACACAUGCAAGUCGAACGGCAGCACAGUAAGAGCUUGCUCUUACGGGUGGCGAGUGGCGGACGGGUGAGGAAUACAUCGGAAUCUACUUUUUCGUGGGGGAUAACGUAGGGAAACUUACGCUAAUACCGCAUACGACCUACGGGUGAAAGCAGGGGAUCUUCGGACCUUGCGCGAUUGAAUGAGCCGAUGUCGGAUUAGCUAGUUGGCGGGGUAAAGGCCCACCAAGGCGACGAUCCGUAGCUGGUCUGAGAGGCUGGUAGGCGACAUUGGAGCGGAGACGCGCACCAGGCGACUACGGGAGGCACCAGUGGGGAAUAUGAGGCAAUGGGCGCAAGCCUGAUCCAGCCAGACCGCGUGGGUGAAGAAAGCCUUCGGGUUGUAAAGCCGGUUUGUGGGGAAAGAAAAGCAGCAGGUUAAUACGCCGCUGUUGUGACGGUACCCAAAGAAUAAGCACCGGCUAACUUCGUG